This 392-nucleotide unclassified non-coding RNA is filed under the name Hevea brasiliensis (rubber tree). Lineage: Eukaryota; Viridiplantae; Streptophyta; Magnoliopsida; Malpighiales; Euphorbiaceae. The record is from RNAcentral.
UAGAAGCCUUAUUUACAGUUGAGAAUGACAAAGAAUCUGAGUCGAUCCUCAAAAAGUUGAAUGGUGCUAUUGUUGGUGGUCAUUGCCUAUCAGCUUCUUUAGUACCUAGCAACUCAUCAUCUGCUUCCAUGUCUGAAAAUAAGGAUGAUAGAUGCAGGAUGGCUUUACAAAUUAACAACUACUUGACAGAACUCAAAAUGCAACUUGAGGAAAAGGAAAUGGAUUGGCUUGAAUUGUCGGUGCUGAAAUCGUGUAUGGAGGAUCUUCAGAUGCUGCAUGAGGAGAUAAUGCACCUUGAAGAUCUGCCUUCCAUCAUCGAUUCAUCUGACAAUUGAUUCUUGAUUUUCAAAACUUCUCUAUUCAAGUAUCUUCACUUGCUAACAACAGGAUAA